AGUGAACGCUGGCGGUAGGCCUAACACAUGCAAGUCGAACGGCAGCACAGUAAGAGCUUGCUCUUACGGGUGGCGAGUGGCGGACGGGUGAGGAAUACAUCGGAAUCUACUUUUUCGUGGGGGAUAACGUAGGGAAACUUACGCUAAUACCGCAUACGACCUACGGGUGAAAGCAGGGGAUCUUCGGACCUUGCGCGUUUGAAUGAGCCGAUGUCGGAUUAGCUAGUUGGCUGGGUAAAGGCCCACCAAGGCGACGAUCCGUAGCUGGUCUGAGAGGAUGAUCAGCCACACUGGAACUGAGACACGGUCCAGACUCCUACGGGAGGCAGCAGUGGGGAAUAUUGGACAAUGGGCGCAAGCCUGAUCCAGCCAUACCGCGUGGGUGAAGAAGGCCUUCGGGUUGUAAAGCCCUUUUGUUGGGAAAGAAAAGCAGCAGGUUAAUACCCCGCUGUUCUGACGGUACCCAAAGAAUAAGCACCGGCUAACUUCGUG
Molecule: ribosomal RNA, 492 nt
Filed under: uncultured bacterium
Lineage: Bacteria
Description: partial 16S ribosomal RNA
Rfam family: Bacterial small subunit ribosomal RNA
Source: RNAcentral